RNAcentral lists this ribosomal RNA (371 nucleotides) under uncultured organism. Its description in RNAcentral is "bacterial SSU rRNA". It matches the Rfam family "Bacterial small subunit ribosomal RNA", at positions 526 to 896 of the family's 1533-position model. The record is from RNAcentral.
CAGAGGGGGCAAGCGUUGUUCGGAAUUACUGGGCGUAAAGGGCGCGUAGGCGGCCUGUUAAGUCGAACGUGAAAUCCCCGGGCUCAACCCGGGAACUGCGUCCGAUACUGGCAGGCUUGAAUCCGGGAGAGGGAUGCGGAAUUCCAGGUGUAGCGGUGAAAUGCGUAGAUAUCUGGAGGAACACCGGUGGCGAAGGCGGCAUCCUGGACCGGCAUUGACGCUGAGGCGCGAAAGCCAGGGGAGCAAACGGGAUUAGAUACCCCGGUAGUCCUGGCCCUAAACGAUGAAUGCUUGGUGUGGCGGGUAUCGAUCCCUGCCGUGCCGAAGCUAACGCAUUAAGCAUCCGCCUGGGGAGUACGGUCGCAAGGCUG